CUUGGAAGCAGCUAUUCAUUCAAAGAGUGCGUAACAGCUCACUAGUCGAGCGACAGAGCGUGGAUAAUAAACGGGCAUCAAGCAUAUCACCGAAGUUCUGGGCGCGAGAGCGCGGUAGGGGAGCAUUCCAUUCAGCGUCGAAGCAGUUUCGUGAGGAAUUGUGGAGCGUAUGGAAAAGCAAAUGUAGGCAUGAGUAACGAUAAUGCGGGAGAGUAACCCGCACACCGCAAGACCAAGGUUUCCUGAUCAACGCUAAUCGGAUCAGGGUUAGUCGGGUCCUAAGGGUAAGCCGAACGGCGAUCUCGAUGGAUAAUCGGUUAAUAUUCCGAUACUAACAUAUACCUCGAUGGAGAGACGAAGGAACGUAAGUGCCGCCACCUGACGGAAUAGGUGGUUAAAGGGCGUAGGUAUAGGGGCAGAUUAAGAGUUAGUCCUUGCUGAAACCUGACAGUACAGAGAGCCUACGGGCAAUUUGAUAGAGCACCCAAGUCGACUUCCGAGAAAAUCUUCUAAGUUAUAGUAUAUGUUACCCGUACCGUAAACCGACACAGGUGGUCGAGGAGAGUAUCCUAAGGUGCUCGAGUGAAUCACGGUUAAGGAACUAGGCAAAUUAACCCCGUAACUUCGGGAAAAGGGGUCCCUAUGAAAGUAGGGCGCAGCGAAGAGGUCCAGGCGACUGUUUAUCAAAAACACAGGGCUCUGCAAAUUCGAAAGAAGACGUAUAGGGCCUGACACCUGCCCGGUGCUGGAAGGUUAAGAGGGGAUGUCAUCGCAAGAGAAGCAUUGAAUCGAAGCCCCAGUAAACGGCGGCCGUAACUAUAACGGUCCUAAGGUAGCGAAAUUCCUUGUCGGGUAAGUUCCGACCUGCACGAAUGGUGUAACGAUCUGGACACUGUCUCAACCGUGAGCUCGGUGAAAUUGUAGUCCCGGUGAUGAUGCCGGGUACCCGCAACGGGACGAAAAGACCCCGUGAACCUUUACUAUAGCUUAACGCUGAAUUUGGGUACACAAUGUGUAGGAUAGGCCGGAGGCUUUGAAGCGGGCACGCCAGUGUUCGUGGAGCCGACGUUGAAAUACGGCCCUUUGUGUAUUUGAGUUCUAACCCUGCGAAGGGGACACCGUUUGGUGGGUAGUUUGACUGGGGUGGUCGCCUCCAAAAGCGUAACGGAGGCUUCCCAAGGUACCCUCAGCACGAAUGGUAACCGUGCGCGGAGUGCAAUAGCAUAAGGGUGCUUGACUGUGAGACAUACAAGUCGACCAGGUACGAAAGUAGGGUAUAGUGAUCCGGUGGUUCUGCGUGGACUGGCCAUCGCUCAAAGGAUAAAAGGUACUCCGGGGAUAACAGGCUGAUCGCCGCCAAGAGCUCAUAUCGACGCGGCGGUUUGGCACCUCGAUGUCGGCUCGUCACAUCCUGGGGCUGGAGAAGGUCCCA
This 1432-nucleotide ribosomal RNA is filed under the name human gut metagenome. Its description in RNAcentral is "bacterial LSU rRNA". It matches the Rfam family "Bacterial large subunit ribosomal RNA", at positions 1105 to 2567 of the family's 2925-position model. The record is from RNAcentral.